This 765-nucleotide ribosomal RNA is filed under the name uncultured bacterium. Its description in RNAcentral is "bacterial SSU rRNA". It matches the Rfam family "Bacterial small subunit ribosomal RNA", at positions 33 to 796 of the family's 1533-position model. The record is from RNAcentral.
ACGCUGGCGGCGUGCCUAGUACAUGCAAGUCGGACGCAUCACCUUGGUGAUGAGUGGCGAACGGGUGAGUAAUACAUAAGCAACCUGCCCUUUCGAGGGGGAUAACAGCUGGAAACGGCUGCUAAGACCGCAUAGGCAUGGAGACCGCAUGGUCUGCAUGUUAAAUAUCCCACGGGAUAGCGAGAGGAUGGGCUUAUGACGCAUUAGCUGGAUGGUGAGGUAGCGGCUCACCAUGGCGACGAUGCGUAGCCGGCCUGAGAGGGUGAACGGCCACACUGGGACUGAGACACGGCCCAGACUCCUACGGGAGGCAGCAGUAGGGAAUUUUCGGCAAUGGGCGAAAGCCUGACCGAGCAACGCCGCGUAAGGGAGGAAGUCCUUCGGGAUGCAGACCUCUGUUAUAAAGGAAGAACGGCAUAGUCAGGGAAUGGGCUAUGAGUGACGGUACUUUAUGAGAAAGCCACGGCUAACUACGUGCCAGCAGCCGCGGUAAUACGUAGGUGGCGAGCGUUAUCCGGAAUCAUUGGGCGUAAAGAGGGAGCAGGCGGUCAUGCAGGUCUGAGGUGAAAGCCCGAAGCUAAACUUCGGCGAGCCUUGGAAACCGAAUGACUGGAGUGCGGUAGAGGAACGUGGAAUUCCAUGUGUAGCGGUGAAAUGCGUAGAUAUAUGGAGGAACACCAGUGGCGAAGGCGACGUUCUGGGCCGCAACUGACGCUCAGUCCCGAAAGCGUGGGGAGCAAAUAGGAUUAGAUACCCUGGUAGUCC